GCAGGGGUGGCAGAGCCUGGUCAAAUGCGCUAGCUUGAGGGGUUAGUAGCUUUAGUGCUUGCUAGGGUUCAAAUCCCUACCCCUGCA
RNAcentral lists this transfer RNA (87 nucleotides) under Microcaldota archaeon. Its description in RNAcentral is "tRNA-Leu". It matches the Rfam family "tRNA". Rfam says of the family: Transfer RNA (tRNA) molecules are approximately 80 nucleotides in length. The record is from RNAcentral. Lineage: Archaea; Nanobdellati; Microcaldota.